Molecule: transfer RNA, 76 nt
Filed under: Armatimonadota bacterium
Lineage: Bacteria; Bacillati; Armatimonadota
Description: Armatimonadetes bacterium (activated sludge metagenome) tRNA-Ala
Rfam family: tRNA
About the family: Transfer RNA (tRNA) molecules are approximately 80 nucleotides in length. Their secondary structure includes four short double-helical elements and three loops (D, anti-codon, and T loops). Further hydrogen bonds mediate the characteristic L-shaped molecular structure. tRNAs have two regions of fundamental functional importance: the anti-codon, which is responsible for specific mRNA codon recognition, and the 3' end, to which the tRNAs corresponding amino acid is attached (by aminoacyl-tRNA synthetases). tRNAs cope with the degeneracy of the genetic code in two manners: having more than one tRNA (with a specific anti-codon) for a particular amino acid; and 'wobble' base-pairing, i.e. permitting non-standard base-pairing at the 3rd anti-codon position.
Source: RNAcentral
GGGGGAUUAGCUCAGCUGGGAGAGCGCCUGCAUGGCAUGCAGGAGGUCAGCGGUUCGAGCCCGCUAUCCUCCACCA